Molecule: long non-coding RNA, 4709 nt
Organism: Bacillus rossius redtenbacheri
Lineage: Eukaryota; Metazoa; Arthropoda; Insecta; Phasmatodea; Bacillidae
Exons: 4
Source: RefSeq, a predicted model, not a curated record
UAUAUAUAUAUAUAUAUAUACAUACAUAUACAUAUCACUUUAGAACUGAUGAUGGUUAUGGGUUUCUUGGACUAUGAAACGUAAAACUACAUAAAAUCUUUCAGGAAGUCGCACCGCUGGUACGUUUAAAUUCUAUAUUUUUUUUAAUGAUUUUUCCUUACGUAUUUGAAAUUUUCUAAAGAAAGUAAUGUAAGGAAUAAGAAUUAGAUACAAAAUGCACGUUUUAUAUGCCAUAAAAAAACAUUGGUGUGCUAAAACAAAAUGAAUGCAAACAAAACAAAUAUCGUAGCAGGACUGUAUUUGAUACGGGGGAGUUUAGACUAGGAAAUCAAAUUUGUAUAAAUGAGUGCAUACGUAUUAGUCCGCGGCAAUUAUUAUAUAGUUAUCGAUGGUUUUCAUGCAUUCUACGCGGCACAAACAUAUUAUGAAUUUUUAAACUUAAGUACUUACUUAAAAAUUCCAUUUGAGUUGUAACUGUUCGUUCUAACCUGGGAAAUACAACCUAAAUGACAAGACAAAUCAUAUUACAUGUCGUACAUCGUUCCAUUAAGUCAAAGUUUAUAGUAUAUUCCUAUAACAAAUGCGUAUAUAAAAUACAGUAUAUAAUGCACUCAAAACAAGCAGGCCAUUUAGAAAAAUUUUAUUUUCUGUUGACAGUUUACGUGCACAAAAACAUAACAUUUAAUCGUCUCUGGCACGUUAUGAGAUUAAGUUUAUUUUAGAUACUUCCUCUUUCGAAAAAAACAAACAAACAAUUUCGUCACAUACUGUUUUUUUCUUCUGAUUCCAGCAAUCCUUCAACUCAUUGUCUUACAGAAUACCAACAUUUCAUUACAAGUUUUUCGCUGAAAUGGCCCAUUAUUAAAUUAAAUCUUGACUAAUUUUAUAAAAAAAAUAUUUAACCAUAAUCACGAUGAUAUCCGUGUAUGUAAACAGUUACGUAACACUACAAAUGUGAAAAUGUACCCACACACAAACGAAAUUUCGUUUUGUAGCAUAAAGAUUAAUACAGUAGAUAAAUAUUUUUCAAGUUUAGUUUUGUAAUAUUUACUUUUUAUUUCCGAAGGUACAACUACUGUUUGCAAAAAUAAUGAAAAAAAAUUAAGUACUAUUAAAGAGCAUCUACAGGUUUAAAAUUUGCCAAAUGUAAUACUAUAUGAAUUCUGAGCAACAUAUUAAGUUAUUGACAACAUCUUUUAUAGUUACGUAAAAUUCAGUAACAUGCUAAAGGUGGUUCAGAAUAGAAUUCAAAAUUCCAAAGACAGUUUAAGCAUUUUUAAAUACAAAUGCGUAAUUAAUCACAUAAAAAACAUGUUAGACAUUUUACCGUGCCACCUAUUGGUCGAAACUUAUGCUAUAAUGUGUAGUAAAUAAAUCAAAAUUUCCGCAAAAAUUGCUAUAAGUGCACCCAGAAAAAACCUUAAACAAUUCGAGAGUAAAAUCAACAAACAAAAACCACUUAACUCAGAAAUAUUUUAAAAAAUAUUACAGAUGAAAAUAGACAACAGAGAGAUUAAUGAUUAAUGGACUAAAUCUAGGCAAACAGCAGAUGAAUCACAAAAAAAAGAAGGGGGGGGGGACAGGCUAUUUUUAAUUAAAUAGUUUCCUUUAAAUAAAUUUUUAAUAAAUCUUAAACUAGCAAACUUAAUGAAUAUUAAAGCAAAGGCAAAUUAAAAUUCUUUAACUACUCUAAUGAAUUAUAUUAUUUCACUUAGGCUUGCAACAUUAGCGAGAAAAAAGAAGAAGCUGGGGUUGACACAGAACCCUCUGCCUGCUGGUAAUGGUCCUGCAACACCAACCUUGCCAGAGAGCCCAGGCGGUGAAAGUUCGGUCCCCACAGUGCCAGAUGUAACCACCAUGGCGUCUUCAGUGGCGGCGUGUACAUCACGCAACACUGAUGACAGUACACAUACUCUGUCCGAUGACUAUCAAGGGAAUGAUGACCUUCCUCCGCUGAUAGUGGUUUACGAGCCUCCAUUGCCACAGACAGAUCCGGGACUCAGUAUGUUAGAGGGUCGAAUGAUGGUUGACGUUCGUCACUUCAUGGUGCAAUGCCGUCUUCUGGAGAGACACAGGUGUCCCAUUUCAUCUUCAGGAACAUAUUUUCUGGAAAGUGUCAACAGAAUGGGAAUCACAAGACUACAAAAACUAUUCUCCUGCAUAAGAAAGGUGAUAAUACCAGUAAAGAAAAUUAUCGUCCGAGAGCAAUUACGUCUUAUAUUUAGGGACACCUGUAUUUCGCUAAUACAUUUCGUGUCAAGGUAUUUAACAAAACACUGUAGAUUUUUCUUGUAAUUAUUGGCUGUGGUCGGUGAAGGCUGUUUUCCCGCACUUGACGGGGCCAAUGAGGACGUAGUUACCGUACUGCUGCACGCCCGCAAUUCGCCAAACCUCUAAGAAAAAAAAGCUACAGUUAUGUGUGAAAUAGCCUGACACGAGAUGUAUUCACGAAAUACAGGUGUCCUUAAUUAUAUCGAAAAAUAUUUGAACAUUGUAUGAUAAUUUUAAGUAUGAAAAGUACAAAAUACUUUCAAAUUUAAUACAUGGUUUUACAUCAACUCUAAGCACUAAAACCCAUACUGCUUAUUAUCUACAAAAUAAAUCUAUACACGGCAACUGAUUAUGAAUCAGUUGAGUUUUUUUUAUAAAGCAUCUAAGGCCUUGAUUGUAUAAAUAUAUUGUUGGAUAAAUUAACUAAACUAGGAAUACUAUAAAAUGCACAAAAAUAGAAGAGUUUGAUCUCAAUGACAUAAAGCAUAAUUUAUCUAUUUAGCACAGCCUGUAUAAUUGCUUCCCCAUUGUCAAGACUAAAAUUAAAAAAACUGCGAAAGAAGCAGUAUAAAAUAUCUAUCUCAUUAUCUUUGCGGGUGACUCAAAUAUCAUACAAACAAAACGAAACGCAAGAAAGCAUAUUUUAAACACUGUAAAUAACUUAGAUUUUAAAUAAAAGGAUAAUAAUCAGUCUGUAAAAUUUAGUUUUAACGAUGAGUUGUAAACAGAACAUCAAACAUAUAUCAUAGGUGUUACUGCGAACAGAGAACUCUCACAAACAAUACAAUUCCUUUCUGCGCAACCUGCAAGCUCCGGUACCUUCUGUAAAAAAAAUAUAUAAAUGUAAAACUUUUCCGGAAGUCGUACCAUGGUAAUGACUAAAAUAUGUAGCCUUACUUCUAAAUCUAAUUAUCUAGAGAACAAAUUGUAUUACAUUAUUUUCAUGAUUUAAACGGUAGCAAAAUUAACACCUACAUACGAACAGAAGUUUGCUCUUUUAUUCAUUUUUUUAGUUACGUGAUAAUUUUUUUGAGUUAUAAAGAAAUCCAACUUAAACAGUAAAAAAGAAAGGCUUUUAAUGAAAAAACCUACUCAGUCAUUAUAGAUAACUGUUCAAACCAUUUAAGAUUCAUCCUGUUACAUAAAUUUUUAUAUUCAUAUACAUCUAAUGUAUACACAUAUCAGAAAAAAGGCAAUAAAUUCAUAUUAACUUCAUUAUCAAACUAUAAUAAAACACAAAAUACACUUGCAGAGAACCACCAAAUAUAUUGCGUAAGUGUUUCUGCAAUGAGUUAAACUUUAAAAUUGACUUUAUUAUUUCAAAAAAAUAAUUUAAAACUCCAAGCAAAUGUAAGAACACGUCUUCUAGAUAUAAUGUAAGAUUAUAAUGCCGUGUCCGAAUUCGCCUGAAGAAUAUACUUGUAGAUACUUUGGAAGUGACUUUGCAAGACUGUCAGAAAUGGACGUGAAGUAUGUAUGCUAUGCAAUACGCAAGUAAAUGAGUCUGUGUAAUUCUCGCGUACUUGAAGUUGAAAAUACUUCUUCAUUUGAAAUAUUUUUGGUCAUAUUUUAUAUAUCAUUUAAAUAAUUUAAGAGGACGUAAAAUAAAUAUAAUUUAUUUUGUAUUUUACUGGUAUCUAUAAAUAAAUUGACAAAAUUAAUUUAUGUAUAUGGAUGUUUAAAACGAAGUUUCAACAAACACAUGUACAUAUUUAGCCUACAGAUCGUUACUACAAAACAAAAGUACAAUAAUAAUGUAUGUUGCCGUAAAUUCACGUGACAGCGAUGAAGUGUUAAAAAAAAAAGGACUAAUUUCACAUGCGUUUAAAAAUAAAAUCUAAACAUCCUUUUCGGCUGGCUAAACAUUGAACUUAUCCGGAUUCGUUAAAGGCAAGUGAAGUACGUAAGGUUGCAAACAUGUAACUGCAUUACUUUCUGAUUAAUUUUAAUAAAAUUAUGCAUAUAUCCAAAAAAUGUUCAGUUAAAAUUAGUAUUGUAUUGUAUUGUAUUUUAUUUUAUUGUAUUGGUGUUUGUAUCUGGGUAUAUUUUUAUUGUGUGUUUAAGAUUUAUUGACUUUUGUGCCUCAUGUACUUUUGGUGAAAAAUGAAAAUGUAAUUAUGUAUUAUUAUCAGGGCCCAAAGCAAAACUAUUUGUUCGUUGGCCGGAAAUGAAAUGUAGUUAUACUUGUAUAUCUAAGAAAAAUAUUUGUAUUUUGUAUGAAUGUAAGUAUUUUAUUAUGUAAAUUUUUAUUACUUACAAAUAUUUCGUACUCAUAAUAUCUAGUUUCCAUUUGUCUUAAGACAUAAUAAAAUGAUAUACUAAGCAAAAAAUGUUUAUUGGUUCGCAAUUUUUCAUUGUUACAAUAUUUUAAAAUGAAAAAUUUGCUAUUCAGCAAUAUCAACUUCUAAAACGUGAGUAAAAAUUAUCAUUAAAUUAUA